GCCUAGUUAGCUUAGUUGGUAGUGCGUCUGCCUUGUAAGCGGUAGGCCACGGGUUCGAUUCCCGCCCGGGGCG
RNAcentral lists this transfer RNA (73 nucleotides) under Diaphorina citri (Asian citrus psyllid). It matches the Rfam family "tRNA". From Rfam's summary of the family: Transfer RNA (tRNA) molecules are approximately 80 nucleotides in length. Lineage: Eukaryota; Metazoa; Arthropoda; Insecta; Hemiptera; Psyllidae. The record is from Rfam by way of RNAcentral.